This 684-nucleotide long non-coding RNA is filed under the name Homo sapiens (human). RNAcentral describes it as "HSALNT0336556". Lineage: Eukaryota; Metazoa; Chordata; Mammalia; Primates; Hominidae. The record is from RNAcentral.
GGGAACUCCACCUACUGCCUGUUGACCAAGCAUUAAAUAUUUUGGAGGUUCAAAAGCCUCUGAGCUUGUCAUAAUGGGCUUGCUUUCAGACCUCAAAAUCCCAGUACACCCUGAAACUAUGAUGCAGACAUUCAGAGGCAGCAGCACAAGAUUGCAGUUUUGGAACACUGAGCAAAGAAUUACCCAUCUGGGAUAUCAUUCUCCUCCGGGAAAGGGUCUCCAAUCACCUCUCAUAAGGAGACAUGUCCUGCUGCCUCACUGCGGUGGCCUCAGGGGUAAGGAAUCAGAACCCACCCAGUGUGAAGAAUAAACCUGGACUCUCGGCAACACAGGAAGAAAAAGCCUACAGUACAGAUACCACGGCGACAAGGACUCAAGGCCUCCUAGCGAGAUUACAUCCUUGUCAAAGGUUGGAAAGAGGGAAAGCUCAAACCCACCUGGGAAGGACCUUACCUGGUACUCCUAACAACUGAAAUAGCACUCCGGAAAGCCGAAAAAGGGUGAACCCACCACACAAGUGAAGAAGGCCCCACCUCUGGCAAAGUCAUGGACCAUCACUCCAGGACCAACAGCCUCAAAACUAACAUUCAAACGGGUACAGGAAUCGACCGACUCCUGGAAACAUCACACUCAAGUCAAAGCCUGGAGAGCUGAGGGAGCAACCCCCAACAGCCCAGAGGAACG